Molecule: non-coding RNA, 70 nt
Filed under: Schistosoma curassoni
Lineage: Eukaryota; Metazoa; Platyhelminthes; Trematoda; Strigeidida; Schistosomatidae
Source: RNAcentral
UUACUAACUCCGCCUGUAGCUCUUAUAGGGUUGCUGCCGGUCCCAAGCCCGGGUAAAGGAGGAGGGUUGG